Molecule: ribosomal RNA, 1002 nt
Filed under: Pholcus phalangioides (longbodied cellar spider)
Lineage: Eukaryota; Metazoa; Arthropoda; Arachnida; Araneae; Pholcidae
Description: eukaryotic LSU rRNA
Rfam family: Eukaryotic large subunit ribosomal RNA
Source: RNAcentral
AGAAACCAACUGGGAUUCCCUUAGUAACGGCGAGCGAACAGGGAAGCGUCCAUCGCCGAACCCCACGUCGCUGCGGCGUCGGGAAUGUGGCGUUAGGGAGGGAGCGUUCGCGAGUUCYGAGCGUGCAGCAAGUCCCCUUGACUGGGGCUGUUUUCCAGGGAGGGUGUCAGGCCCGUGGUUGCCUCCUCGUGCUCGUGAAGCUGCCUCCCCAGAGUCGGGUUGCUUGGGAGUGCAGCCCCAAGAGGGUGGUAGACUCCAUCUAAGACUAAAUACGGCCGCGAGACCGAUAGCGAACAAGUACCGUGAGGGAAAGUUGAAAAGGACUUGAAGAGAGAGUUCAAGAGUGCGUGAAACUGCUCGGAGGCAAACGGGUGGGCCCUCGAACGGUCCUCGCCCGAUGGUUCGGUCGGAGAGGCGCGAGCCCGUUGGCGAGGCGGGUUCCGUAAAGGACCCCUCCGCUUUCGUGGCGCUCGAGUCUUCCGGUGCAUUCCAUCCGGUAUGGACGUCGCAGCCGGUUGGGCGUGGUCAGCCUGAAGAGCGGGCUACGGCAGGUGGCAGUGGAGUCUCCCCGCUGUGUCUAGCCGGCUCGUUCGUGGCGUGAUCCCCGACCGAGGAUGACGUCUUCCUCUUUGGGAGAUUUGCCGUGCUCUCGCCUCUGCGAGCGGGAUUUCCCGCGGUGAGCGUACGCGGCUGGCGACAUCGGUCACCCACCCGACCCGUCUUGAAACACGGACCAAGGAGUCUAACAUGUGCGCGAGUCAGUGGGACUCGAACAAGCCCACGGGCAGAACGAAAGCGAUCGGUCGGGAUCCGCACUGCUCGCAGUGUGGCGCACCGACGGCCCGACGCCUGUAUAGGCGAUCGGAGCGUGAGCGUACACGUUGGGACCCGAAAGACGGUGAACUAUUCCCGGGUAGGAUGAAGCCGGGGGAAACUCCGGUGGAGGUCCGCAGCGGUUCUGACGUGCAAUUCGAUCGUCGAACCCGGGUAUAGGGGCGAAAG